AGAUGAACAAGGUGGCGCAGUAUUCUAGUCAAAGUGCGCCGGUAUCGAAGAAGGGCCUAAAAAUCCUUUGAAGGGCAUAUCGAUGAAGUCCCUGGUGCUUGCUUUUUUCGCCCAGAUUAGGGUGGGUGCUGGGGGUUAAGGCUUUCGGGCGAGGUGUAAUGGCAUAUACCGACCGACCCGGAUGCCGUGGAGACCUGUUCUUGUGCGACAGCCGCAAAGUAUCUGUAGUACCCGGACUGCGUACGAAACAGGAUAGAACCUGCAUUGCGGUGCACAGAAUCGUGUGCUGUGUGCAGUGUAGCCUGCCUUGCGUGGCAAUGCGGGAAUAGGGGAGCGAGGCAUUGCGUCCGUGGCCGCGGAUGACGGUGAUAUUGCCCCUUGAAACCAUUGCUGCAAAAGAGGAUAGAACCGGAGCAUAAUGUUGUGGAAAUCACCUAGGCUGUCUUGCAAAAGGGCAGGUAGAGGAUUGCAGUGCGGACUAAGUGGCAAUCGGGUAUCGGCUGUGGCGACACACCGACGAGACUUUAAACGGAAACGCCCCAUUGGCGACAAUGGGCAGUCGAAGGGGAAAACCAACCCGACCUAAGCCGCAAGAUUUACUCUAUCGGCCGCCACCAUUUUAAAUUA
Molecule: small RNA, 627 nt
Filed under: human gut metagenome
Source: RNAcentral